UAGUGGCGAACGGGUGAGUAACACGUGAGUAACCUGCCCUUAACUCUGGGAUAAGCCUGGGAAACUGGGUCUAAUACCGGAUAUGACUCCUCAUCGCAUGGUGGGGGGUGGAAAGCUUUUGUGGUUUUGGAUGGACUCGCGGCCUAUCAGCUUGUUGGUGAGGUAAUGGCUCACCAAGGCGACGACGGGUAGCCGGCCUGAGAGGGUGACCGGCCACACUGGGACUGAGACACGGCCCAGACUCCUACGGGAGGCAGCAGUGGGGAAUAUUGCACAAUGGGCGCAAGCCUGAUGCAGCGACGCCGCGUGAGGGAUGACGGCCUUCGGGUUGUAAACCUCUUUCAGUAGGGAAGAAGCGAAAGUGACGGUACCUGCAGAAGAAGCGCCGGCUAACUACGUGCCAG
Molecule: ribosomal RNA, 404 nt
Filed under: bacterium S2-029-16S
Lineage: Bacteria
Description: bacterial SSU rRNA
Rfam family: Bacterial small subunit ribosomal RNA
Source: RNAcentral